CACGUCAGCGUGAGUUGCUGACGUGGCAACAAAUUGCGCCCUUUAGGACACGAUUUGAUGCCACGUCAGCAACUCGCGCUGACGUGG
MicroRNA precursor from Gossypium raimondii (Peruvian cotton), 87 nucleotides. It matches the Rfam family "MIR7486 microRNA precursor family". NCBI's taxonomy places the organism in Eukaryota, Viridiplantae, Streptophyta, Magnoliopsida, Malvales, Malvaceae. The record is from Rfam.